GCGGGAAUAGCUCAGUGGUAGAGCGCCACCUUGCCAAGGUGGAUGUCGCCGGUUCGACCCCGGUUUCCCGCUCCA
This 75-nucleotide transfer RNA is filed under the name Acidobacteriota bacterium. RNAcentral describes it as "tRNA-Gly". It matches the Rfam family "tRNA". From Rfam's summary of the family: Transfer RNA (tRNA) molecules are approximately 80 nucleotides in length. The record is from RNAcentral. RNAcentral also lists the same sequence under 2 other names. Lineage: Bacteria; Pseudomonadati; Acidobacteriota.